UGUGUAUUCAUCAAGCAGAGCCGUCUAGAGU
Molecule: non-coding RNA, 31 nt
Filed under: Homo sapiens (human)
Lineage: Eukaryota; Metazoa; Chordata; Mammalia; Primates; Hominidae
Source: RNAcentral